GAUGAAGAACGUAGCGAAAUGCGAUAAGUAAUGCGAAUUGCAGAAUUCAGUGAAUCAUCGAAUCUUUGAACGCACAUUGCGCCCGCUAGUAUUCUGGCGGGCAUGCCUGUUCGAGCGUCAUUUCAACCAUCAAGCUCCUUAGCUUGUGUUGGGGACCUGCGGCUGCCGCAGCCCCCGAAAUGCAGUGGCGGGCUCGUUGUCACACCGAGUGCAGUAAUCAUUCUUCUCUCCGGGCGUGGCGGCGGGUUCCGGCCGUAAAAUCACCAAUUUAUCAAGGUUGACCUCGGAUCAGGUAGGAAUACCCGCUGAACUUAAGCAUAUCAAUAAGCGGAGGA
RNAcentral lists this unclassified non-coding RNA (335 nucleotides) under soil metagenome. RNAcentral's name for it is "partial contains 5.8S ribosomal RNA, internal transcribed spacer 2, and large subunit ribosomal RNA". The stretch from base 1 to 120 matches the Rfam family "5.8S ribosomal RNA", at positions 35 to 154 of the family's 154-position model. The record is from RNAcentral.